AAAUCAAGGUCAAAAUAAAUGACGAGCUCAAGAUAACAUCAGUCCCAUUUGCCCUAGUCCUGGUGGAUGGAGAUCGGAAGGG
This is a long non-coding RNA of Phyllostomus discolor (pale spear-nosed bat), 82 nucleotides long. RefSeq lists it as uncharacterized. The record is from RefSeq and is a predicted model, not a curated record. NCBI's taxonomy places the organism in Eukaryota, Metazoa, Chordata, Mammalia, Chiroptera, Phyllostomidae. The transcript has 3 exons.